Molecule: ribosomal RNA, 513 nt
Filed under: uncultured bacterium
Lineage: Bacteria
Description: partial 16S ribosomal RNA
Rfam family: Bacterial small subunit ribosomal RNA
Source: RNAcentral
GACGAACGCUGGCGGCAUGCCUAAUACAUGCAAGUCGAGCGAACAGAUGAAGUGCUUGCACUUCUGACGUUAGCGGCGAACGGGUGAGUAACACGUAAGGAAUCUACCUAUAAGCGGGGGAUAACAUUCGGAAACGGGUGCUAAUACCGCAUAAUAUCUUCUUCCGCAUGGAAGAAGAUUGAAAGACGGCUCUGCUGUCACUUAUAGAUGACCUUGCGGUGCAUUAGUUAGUUGGUUGGGUAAUGGCCUACCAAGACGAUGAUGCAUAGCCGACCUGAGAGGGUGAUCGGCCACGUUGGGACUGAGACACGGCCCAAACUCCUACGGGAGGCAGCAGUAGGGAAUCUUCCGCAAUGGGCGAAAGCCUGACGGAGCAAUGCCGCGUGAGUGAAGAAGGCCUUCGGGUCGUAAAACUCUGUUAUAAGAGAAGAACAAAUUGUAGAGUAACUGCUACAGUCUUGACGGUAUCUUAUCAGAAAGCCACGGCUAACUACGUGCCAGCCGCCGCAGUAA